This 254-nucleotide ribosomal RNA is filed under the name uncultured bacterium. RNAcentral's name for it is "partial 16S ribosomal RNA". It matches the Rfam family "Bacterial small subunit ribosomal RNA", at positions 524 to 776 of the family's 1533-position model. The record is from RNAcentral.
UACAGAGGGUGCAAGCGUUGUCCGGAUUUAUUGGGCGUAAAGAGCUCGUAGGUGGUUCGGUAAGUCGGGUGUGAAACCUCCAGGCUCAACCUGGAGACGCCACCUGAUACUGCUGUGACUGGAGUCCGGUAGGGGAGCGUGGAAUUCCUGGUGUAGCGGUGAAAUGCGCAGAUAUCAGGAGGAACACCAGCGGCGAAGGCGGCGCUCUGGGCCGGUACUGACACUGAGGAGCGAAAGCGUGGGUAGCAAACAGG